GAACAAGAAGAAGAAAAAAUAAAAAGAAGGGGGAAAAGAAAGGAAAAAAUAUGAAUGGAAAACAAAGGAAACACCAAACAACAACAACGACGCGAAGAGGGGUGGUCUUUUUUCUACGGUUUCUUUUUUCUUUUCCUUUCUUUUCUCCGGAUCUUUUUGCGCUCCCCUCCCCACUCCCCAUUCCAGUCCUCUCGUUCAUUUCAUCCGUUGUGGUCGUUUCUUUUCUAUCUUAAAAAAACAAAAAAAAUGU
This 250-nucleotide ribosomal RNA is filed under the name Lotharella globosa. RNAcentral's name for it is "partial Eukaryotic large subunit ribosomal RNA". Lineage: Eukaryota; Cercozoa; Chlorarachniophyceae. The record is from RNAcentral.